RNAcentral lists this ribosomal RNA (372 nucleotides) under uncultured organism. RNAcentral describes it as "partial 16S ribosomal RNA". It matches the Rfam family "Bacterial small subunit ribosomal RNA", at positions 527 to 896 of the family's 1533-position model. The record is from RNAcentral.
GAGGGGUGCAAACGUUAUUCGGAUUUACUGGGCGUAAAGGGUGUGUAGACGGCAUAUUAAGUUCGUUGUUAAAUCUUCCGGCCUAACCGGAAGCUCGCGAUGAAAACUGAUAAGCUUGAGGAUGGAAGAGAGAAGUGGAAUUCUCGGAGUAGCGGUAAAAUGCGUAGAUCUCGAGAGGAACACCGAUGGCGAAGGCAGCUUCUUGGUCCAUUCCUGACGUUGAGACACGAAAGCGUGGGUAGCAAACAGGAUUAGAUACCCUGGUAGUCCACGCCGUAAACGAUGAUCACUGGAUGUUGGUUUCGCUUUGCGAAAUCGGUAUCGAAGCUAACGCGUUAAGUGAUCCGCCUGGGAAGUACGGUCGCAAGAUUA